GCCUUACAUGAUACACAUAUUUUGUUAUCGCCAGAGAACUACAAGUGAAAAACUUCAAACUCAAAGGACUUGGCGGUGUCCCAUAUCGACCUAGAGGAGCCUGUCCUAUAAUCGAUACCCCCCGGUCCAACUAAACUUUUUUACCAACUUUAAGCCUAUAUACGGCCGUCGACAGUCUACCCCAUGAGGAACCAAUAGUAGACACAACAGCUAACCCCGCUAACACGUCAGGUCAAGGUGUAGCACAUGUUGAGGAAGAGAUUGGCUACAUUUUUUGUCAUAAAAAAUACGAAAUGCAUCAUGAAACACUGCAUGAAGGUGAAUUUAGUAGUAAGAUUAAACAAGAGUGUUUAUCUUAACAACGCUCUGGGACGCGCACACACCGCCCGU
This 390-nucleotide ribosomal RNA is filed under the name Eremias persica. RNAcentral describes it as "partial 12S ribosomal RNA". Lineage: Eukaryota; Metazoa; Chordata; Lepidosauria; Squamata; Lacertidae. The record is from RNAcentral.